Molecule: long non-coding RNA, 8688 nt
Organism: Parus major (Great Tit)
Lineage: Eukaryota; Metazoa; Chordata; Aves; Passeriformes; Paridae
Exons: 7
Source: RefSeq, a predicted model, not a curated record
UGCCCGCGGUGCGCUCCCCGCCCGGGCGCGGCGCUCGGCCCUGGCAGCGCUCGGGCCGCCGCGGCUGCUGCGCCUGCGGCCGCCGCCGAUGUCGCACCAUUUGGCUGUCACCCUGUCGCAAAGGCGUCGCUGCUUUACGGCUCCCGGAGCACGUGACCGGGCGGGAGUAAGAGCGGGCUGCCUCGGAGGCGGAGAGCAGCGCGCGCCCCCGGCCCCAGCUGCCCCGCGCGGGCGGAUCGGCGCGAGGCGCCGAGCGCGGGGGCGGGCGCGAGCCCCCUCAUCCCCACAGCCCCGCGGCCGCCUCGCCACCUCCCUCCCUCCCUACACACUCCGCUGGUGGCGCUUCCCCACCCGUUAGGCUCCAGCGCUGGGAAUCCUGUCGUUUCCUUCUGUGCUGGCGGGGCUUGGGGGGCGUGUGGCACAUUCCUGGUGUUGGGGGCUGCAGGGGCUCGGCUCUCCCGGGCCCAGGAGACAGGUUAAGCCCUCAGUUUGUUGGGUAGCGAAGGCAGGUAGCUCAGGAAGGAGAGUUCACGCUUGUCUCAAGCAGCCUUGUCUCAUGCCGCCCUGGGGACCUGGAACAGUGGCCCAGGAGGUUGUGGGUGAUGAAUCCUGUCUUCACCAGAUAUAAUGUGAAAUCACUGCUGCAAGCAAGGACAUUGCCUUACCUGCCCCAGCCCCAAGAAAUGGAUCCUGGCAAUUCCUGUAGCCCCAGACCUGAAGACUGACAUCCUCUCCUCAGGAGCUCAUACAACCAAAUGUUACCUCUGAAAGGUAUAUAGUUAAGGAACCCAGAUGGACAAGCUCAAGUGACAUUGAGGAGAAACUGUGUGAUUAUCCAGCUGUACUGACACCAUUAGGCAGCUUGUUCUGGAUCACAGGGAGGUGGGUGGAUGGGCACACAGAACUCAUUGCUGAACUACUGAAGUUGGUGUUUGCAUUGCAAGUGACAUCUGGCUGACAGGAACUUGGAGAAAUGGGAUACAAAGUGAAUGCUGCAGUUACCACGGUAUCAUAUUUAUCAAAAGGCUUAAGAGUUCUUGAACAGGAGGUAAUCUGACACGAAGUGUAUUUACAGUAUUGAUACCUGAUGUAUUACUUCAUCAGCAAAUUCAACAAGGCCAGGAUGUCUUCAUUUCCUUCAGAGCAAGAGCGGUAAGAGCAGUGUGGUGGAAGUAUUGGUCUUGUGUGGCCAGCCGGCGAGAGCCCAUCCGCAGCUGUGAUGAGCAGAGCAGACAUGGGAGACAGGAGGCAGCUGAAGCCAAAGAGGACCCACGCCUGGAGCUGUGUCUGUGUGAUUGGAGCAGAGAGAGGCCAGGACCCAAGGAAAUCCCAGCAGCAAGGGAAAAAAACAGAUUGACUCUCAGUGACUCAUUUAGCUCCUGGAUUGGACAGAUCUCUCCCCUGCUGGCAAUUUGGCUGAGCAUCAAUGGACAGAUACCAGGAUGAAUAGCUUAAAAUAAUUAGGGGUUGGGAAUUUGCAAAACUGCUAGCCAUCCAAUUCUUUACUGUGCAAUGUGAGGCAGAAAAAAAGAAAUUACAUUUAGGUUAUUAAAUAUUAAGUCAGUGGAUUUACUUCCAUUUGGUGCAGAACAGGAAACUGGCUAAAAUUCAACAUUUAUAUCAUUGUGUUGAUGGUCUGUUUAUCACUGAGCAAGUAAGUGCCUUUUGGCAGGUCAAGCUCUUUGACACAUGGGGCAAAUGUGUGCUUAAUUUCUCCCAAACAGAAGAAUUAAUAUAAUAAUAAUUAACACAGAUGAGAACAGAAUUAAAAUCAAGUACAGUCAGGAGUUCAGUUUAAUGCCAGGUGUCUCACAUUCUAAAUGAUCUGGGGCCAGAUUUUUCCUGUUGAAGGUAGCAAGGAUUUUUGCCUUUGUCACUUAGGGGAGCUGAAGUGGGCCUUGGAUGUAGAGAGACAGGAUUCCCUGUACUUUCUAUUUAAUGCACAAAACCAGAAGCAACAGGCUCAUUUAGUAUCAGUAAAGGUCAGUUAAAAUUAUAGAGACAUCCUUUGGAGCAAAUCCUCUGCCUUGUAUUUGCAUAUUUAUGAAUUAGAGAUUACGACAGGCUAUUUCAUUUAUUAGAGCAGCACUGCUAUAGUUAAUAGUCUGUCAGUAUUUCCAUUAUAAACCCCGUUUUUCAGUGUUUAAUAUCUCAGCCAUUUAAAAUCACAUCAGGAAGCAACUUGGUCUUAUGUUGCUGGCCAGGUGCAUUUUUUUGUUAUGGAUUAUUUUCAAUAAUGAAAUAUUGCUCAUCAUAUAUGCAGAUGAGCCACAGCAUUUCUGUUGGAGGGACAUAGAAAGGUGUGUAAAUUCAUUGUGGCUUUGUUUUUCUUUAGGAAAGAAGGGAAAAGGGGGAUUUGAUCAAUCAUGUCAACUGUGGUCUUAUGUUUGGAGAGCACUUUUUGAAGCAACUGCUUUCAGAGGAAACACUGGUUCUCAGUAGGAAAUCAGGUUGCUGUUUGCUUGCCAGUGGUGACCAAGGUAAACAAGUGAGGAUAGUUACCCUGUCCCUCUGAAAAAUCUUGUCUACCAGUCAUGGGUGAAGCACCCCAGAAAAGAAAGCAGUGAACAUAGAAGAGCCUUUAGAAGUAACAGGAGCCCAAAUUACACAUUCAGAAAGCUGGCCACUUUUUAAGUAUCUGCCAGCAGCAGAGAAAUGCAGUACUGUCCUGACUUUAUUGCUGAUAUUUGGGGUAGAGGGGAUGUUAAGGCUUUAGGGGCAGUUAUAAAGUUCCUUGCAUGUGUCCCUAAACUGAACAAUGUCAUUUAUUUCAGCAGUCUCACAUCAUUCUCCUUCCAAGCAGCCCCACUUUGCUUUCAUAGAGGUGUUAGUUCACUAAAAAGUAACUGCCUGGCAAGGGCAAAUGUUCAGACUAAAAUACCAAUUUUUAACUUGCUAGGGCAGCAAAAAGUUACUCUUCAUAGUAGCUGAAAAAAGCUGGUCUUGCACUAUAACCUCUUUUCACAUGAAAAAAGUUAUAACUAUAACUUUUUUCACAUGCCCUGUGAAAAAAGAAACAGUCCAAACAGAAACUCCUGGGGAGUGGUUUGUUUUCAAGGUCUUGAAAAAUCAUUUGCUGCCUCAGUAACUGACAAGUUAGAAAUCAAAUUCAUGAAGAGGAAAAAAAAUGGAGCUAUAUUCAAAAUAUCUUUUGUUCUUUUGCCUCACAAACACAGUUGGAGGUGGGAACAUAGUCCAUAUUUUCCAUCUUUCUCAUCAUAAAGGUCUAUGUGCACAACUGGGGGUUCCAGGGAAACUAGCAAUGGCAGACCAAAAACACCCUGAAACAUCAUAUUUAAUCCAUUUGGUGCAUUGCAGCUAAUCAAGCUAUGCCCUAGGCAAGACCCAGGGCUUGGCCUCUGUGCCACCUUCUGUAAAUUUUGACUAAAUUAAGAUUAACAGCAAGUUAAGAAGUUAUAUUACGCAAAAAAAAAAAAAAUUAAGCUCAUGUAAGACAAGAUUGCAACAAAAAGUCUCUGAUCUUAAAUCCCCCAAAUCCAAAUGGUGAGCCAGACUGUUCAUCCAGUCUCUCAUCAACAUCAUGAGAACUAAGAGACCAAAUCAAGACAUUCCACUCAGGCUUAUUGAAAAUCUGUUCCAAAUCCAAGUGGCAAGGGCUAAUCAGUAGUGCUUUCUUAAAACAACGAUAUUUGGGAUAUUUUGUAAGUAAUUGCUAACUAAAAGCGCAUUUUCCAGACUCCUUCCAGAGUUGCCAUUGAAAAAAAAAAAUAUUCCUUCCCUAGGCACAUCACAGUGCCUUUUCAGCCAAAAAUUAUCUCUGGUCGUGAGAAGUGAUCAUAACUCAAAAGGAGGCAGACUACAGAAAUUCUAACUGUUUUGAAUACAAAAUUACUUCAAAAGUCUUAUAAAAAAGGUAUAACCCAAAGUAAGGGGGGGAGGGGGUUUCUGCCAAACAUGUAGAAAAUGUCAUACAUUUUAAAAUGAAGUAUUACAUGCUGUCUGCUGGAAAUUCUGUCCAGGCUCAGUAAGCUAUCUGGACAGCAUUGUUUACUAGAUACAUUUGUUAUUCUUUGUCUUUAAUUUGCAGUGACAUAAAAUCUUGCACAACUGACUUGAGUGCAUCUUUGAAUGCUAAAAAUACUAAUUAUUAUGUAAUUAGUCAACAGGAUGUGUGUAAUUGUGCAAUACCAGCAUUCCUGGGUGUGGUUAAAUACAUAGGUAGAAUGCCAACACUCAUCUAGAUGUAGUAUUAUAAAAUUACACAACAACAUACACCCUGGGUGGAUACUCUAAUUAUAUUUUACAUUUAAACAAUAGCUACAUUAGCAAAAUAGAACUUAUUAUUUUUAAAAAUAUCUUCCCACAGGCAUGGAUCAUAGUAGAUGAUGGUAAUAAUAUUGCCCAAAUAGAGUAUCUUCCAUGUCUCAAGGGACUCAGCCUUCUUCCUAAAUAUACAGAUAGGAGACAGAGACCAGGCAUAAAGAGGCCUUCAUUUACUCAUGGCAUAAAAACCACCCCAAAACAGACAUGUGACAAUUGCUGAGUCAUGCACCAGAAUAAUUGAAGGCAGAGAAUCACCAGGAAGGACUUUCUAUCUCAUGAAGAAUCACAUGAGAUUAACCAGAAAUGUGACUAGAACUGUUAUAUUUUUAUGACUUAACAAACAUCAGGACAAUCCUUAAGCCACAGUGGAAACAGAACCACACAGUGAAUCAGAUUCUCCUUUGAACUAACCCAGAAAGAUUUAGGUUACAGCCAUCAAAUGUCUUGAACAUUUGAGUUAAUUCUGAUCUCUGCUAAUAUUUACUGCCAGUGUGAUGUAAAAGUCUGCUGCACUCCCAGCCAAAACUUCCCUGCCUGGUCAUCCCUCAUUGUUCCUGUGGUUCAUCUGCAGUGGCUGACAGGUAUGCAGGUCGCUGGGACCAGCACUACAGAGAUGGUAACUUAUGCAGUACAAACAGAAAACAUGGCACACCAGUAUUUACUCUCUUUUGAUAUGGCUUCAAGGUGAGAAAUCCAGGAGAAGAAUGGAAAGGUGAAAAUUCCAACACCAAAAACAAAUCAAACCAAAAAUCCCUAAGCUGUGACUCAUCAUUGAUGUAAAAUGUCAGAGCCUAAAGCUGUCUUUUUUUUUCAUGUGCCUGAGUGCAGAAGGGUGAGGUGCCCUCUAAGGAUGAUUUUAUCUUUUACUUUUGAGUCUGAAAAUCUUGGAUGUGGUUUGGCACGUUCAUAAAAAUAUUGUGAUGAAGUUGAGUUGCCAUCUGGAAAUUAUAAAUAUAGAGACGUAAGAAAGCUUGAGGAGAAAACCGAAGAUGAUGGAAGAAGAAUCAGCAGUGCACAUGAAUGAGGUUAAAAACUGCAGACAAUUAGCUACAAGAUGACUCCUACUAAAUAAAUCAUCAAAGACUUGACUACUGCUUCCAGGUUUCUACUGUGAUAUUAGCACAUUGGAACAGUCAAAAAGAUGUUAAUUUGGCCAAAGUUUUAGAAAUGUGCUACUCUUGUUUGAAUUAACAAAUCAACAAACAAGGCCAAUCUAUAAUGUCUUGCCAAGGCUAUAAAGCUUCUAGGGAAGCUGUUAUAUUUAAUGCUCAGGAUCAAGGGCCCCAUGAUAUGCAAAAUAAGCCUCUUUGUGUUAAAUGAAAGCUGCACAGGAAAGAAAACCUGAGCUUGUCAUGGAAUUUCACAUCUCGUUUCAGCAUUCAAUAAAGUGCUUUGGGUGUCCAAUUUAAUAGAGAAGCACAAUUUAUUUUUUCAGUAUGCCUCUGCAGAUCAGGCCUUGCUCUGUUCUCAUUUAGACUUUAAUCUAAGACUCAAAGUAAAAAGAAAAUAUUCCAAUUGCUUCCAACAGGCAUCCAGUCAGUCUUGUGCCAAGGUUUUACUUAAAUGCAAAUUCAGUGCUAAGUUCCUCCCAAGAAAAAGAGAGGAAAGUGAUAGGAGUCUGCACACUUAACUUUCCAUCCUCAUGUUAUAUGCUGCUGAUAGAACCUAUCCUCUGACUUGGCAAAAACUUCUUAAUUUGUCUGGUCUUUCUGCAGGGUUGACUGGUAUUAAAAAAAUUCUCACCUCAACCUUCUUUAUUGCUGCAUCAAGUCAGCUCACUACAGUUGUACUCUUUUCUACUGCUUGAGAUUUACUUGUGUCCCUGGUGUGUUGUGAUAAGCCUCUGAAUGUCACUGCUGUGAAGGUUUUGUUCUUCCCAAAGACUCUCCUGAGGUACAGUGAAGGCAAGUAGGGUUUGCUUGGGUUUAAAGGUAAAUUGUGUAUGUCACUAUAAUAAAGGGAAAUAUGCAAAGUGUUGGUUGAAUUUAAAAGGAAUUUGGAAUACUUGACUUGUCACAAGGCCAGGUGAUAUUAUGUGGACUUCUGAAAUUGCUUAUAGCAGGAGAACCUCACCCCGUGGUGAGUGCCAGGUCAAGGCCUGGUUCUCACAUACAUCUUCAAUUUAAACCAUCUUCAGAAUUAGUCCUAAGUCUUACUGUCACUCAGUAGUGUAAAAUAAAAAACAUGAUCUGAAAAACACUAGAGAGAAAUACCGAAGUUUUGCACAUCAAAAAGGCUAAUUAGAAACUCUUUUCUUUUAUAACAAAUAAGCCAAGCAUAUUGACAUUAAUUAUAGGAAAUACUCAAGGUCUGGAAUAAUCUAUUGAAGAGCACAGAUGUAUACCAAAUCCUAUGUAAAUGAGUGUGUGCAACUCUUCUUAAGGUAACACAUUUAUUUAUAAAAGUGAGCUGUGUGUUCAGGUUUCUUUUCAAGGGGUAAAAAAGGUUCCUUUCUCUUCCUUGCUCUUACUCAACAUAGUGAGAUAGUUAUUUCUGUAGUUAUAUCUGUUCAUCACAGAUGCAUUCCAGGGGCUUGGAGCAGAUUCCUCCUGUACCUGAAGUAGUAGUAGUUCUGUUUGCUUUAUUCCAAUUAAUUCUGCAGUUGUUCUGUCAGCUUUACUGGAAUUGGAUCACCAUAACUAGCAGCAGAAUUUGUUCUCCUCUGGUGGUAAAAUUCCUUUGGUUUCAAAAAAGCUAAUGGAAUUCAUAACUGCUUUUGUAUUUUGCAAUCUGUGUCCCAGAGCUGACUAGUCACAUUGGUUUCUUAAAAAAAUACUACAACUACGAUUUGCUACAUUGCCCAUUAGUUUUGCCAGUAGAGACUCUUAACAACCCUGGGAAGAAAAUUUCACAUAUCCCUUCUUUUACCUUGUCUGGCUGCAAAGAAAUCCUCUUAACUUUUGAUAGCUUUACUUCAUGGGGGAAAGGUUCUUCUCUGUCAGGGCCAUGACAGGUGGGCUCAGCAGGCUGAAUCAUUCCACCCCAAAUGCUCCUUCCAUCUUACUCGCUGCCUCUAUACAGAUGAAAGAUGCUGUGCUUUCCAGGUCUAAUUUCAUUAAUGGAUCUCCCAAAUACUUGUCUGAGCGUGCUCCUUAAAUUAGAUGAGAUGUCUACCUGCACUGUGGCCACUGUAGAUUAUCACCCAGCUGGGACUGGUAUGCUUCCUGAAGCCUGCUCCACAAUCUCCAAACCAUCCUACAAAUGUCAGGGCUUAGCACUUCUGCUCUUAGAAACACCCACCUGCAAGGGCAUAUGUUGGUAGUGAACUGUUGCUCUCUCCCAUCACUAGCAGAGAAUAUUAAUGUUGCCAUUGCUGGUUCAACUCCUUUAAUUCUCCCAAUUUUCCUAACAAUUGUCUCAACAUUUCACAGGUGCGUCCAGAGCUACUGUGUCGGCACAAGUUCCAAAAAUCUCAUGAUAAAGUGUCUGCUUUCACUUCUCAGAUUCAAGCUGAUUAAAGGAUUUGAGGAAAAGUGCUGUGGGCAAUGAAGAACAAUGAAGAUCAUUUACAUGAGCUGCAGGUAUCAUUUCAGAUCGAUAAAAAGUAGGAAAAAAUAACCGCAAUUUAACAUUAAAACAGUAAUCUCUAUAUAGCCUCAAGAAUUGUCAACAACUGGCCUUGAGUCUAGCUUGAAGAUUUUGGUAACCUCACCACAUGCUACACGAGUCUGAACAAGAUUGCCUGGGCCACCGGUUACAGGGAGGGCACAUAACACUGGCCAAAUUUCGGUAUUUCGCCUGUUCUUACACUUCAGCUUCUGAACAUCCACUACUGGUAAUUAUCAGACAAAAAAUAUUGGAAUGGCUAGAUUUUUUCAACCUUGUGUUCUUGAUCUUAGGUUUUUAUGUUUACCUCAUUUUUAGUGAGUCUGGAAAGGAGGCUUCUGUCCGAAUUGUACUGUCAAGGAACACCAGCAAUUUUUACUGACCCUGGUCACCCAAGGGCAUCCUUUUACAAAGAGACACCUCUGAUGCGUGGAUCCAUGUUGACUGACAUGCACUUGUAGAUGCAGCACUUGUAAAAGAAACCACCUUGGAGUUGCAUAUCUUUUAGUGGCAACUAAAUGCAGAAAAGAGCUGCAAGAGUGGGAGCAACAGGAGACUGUGUUUGUGAAAUCAGAGUGAAAGUUUGAUAUAUAUCAUUUCAUUUGUUUGAGAGUUAGAUGGUUCUGUUAGUAACUAUUCCUUACAUAUGGAUCAGACUUCUAAAGACCUUCUUAAGUUUGCUUUGGAUAAAAGUAUAUAAAAAAACCUGAACCCAUGGGCUUUUGCCUUCACUGUGCAGUCAGUAGAUUAGAAGGAAAAGGAGCUGUUACACCUGUGAAAUUAAACAUGACUUAAAAAUAGUUUAGGAUGAUAAUGAAGGUGAAAGAUCAAAAUAAAGUGUGAUAUCUGUACAAAGUG